Molecule: long non-coding RNA, 438 nt
Organism: Dromiciops gliroides (monito del monte)
Lineage: Eukaryota; Metazoa; Chordata; Mammalia; Microbiotheria; Microbiotheriidae
Exons: 4
Source: RefSeq, a predicted model, not a curated record
GCAGCGGCGGCGGCAGUGGCCUCCCCUCCGUCCUCCCUCCCUCCCUCCUUCCCUCCCUCCUCCCGCCCUCCCAGCUCGCCUCCCGGCUGCCCUUGUGCCUCACACACCCCCCUGGCCUCCUCCGUCCCGGCGCUCGCUCCGGGAGCUGAGCCGGCCCCGCCUGAGGAGCAGCUGCGGCGGGACGCUCCAACUUCAUUUGGUCAAGUACAACUUGGUGCUGAGAAGCCUCAAAGAUAGUGAACAGACACAUCUUCCAGGCUGAGGUGACACAGACCUGAGAGGUCAAGGUCGGUCGACAUUGUAGCCAGUUAAGUGGAAGACGAGAAGCUUGACCGUGGAUCUCCUGACUCGGAAAAUCUGAGUACAGUGGGACAAGGUAUGUAGAGUUAUAUGCUAUUUUAUUAUCUUUUGAGUGUUUUUUGAAAUGAAUAAAACAAG